AACGCUGGCGGCAAGCCUAACACAUGCAAGUCGAACGGACAAUUAUUUAUAGCCUCUGGCUAUAGGAAAUUGUUAGUGGCAGACGGGUGAGUAAUGCGUAGGAAUCUACCUAGUAGUACGGAAUAGCCAUUAGAAAUGGUGGGUAAUACUGUAUAAUCCCCGAGGGGGAAAGAUUUAUCGCUAUUAGAUGAGCCUACGUUAGAUUAGCUAGUUGGUGAGGUAAUGGCUUACCAAGGCUAUGAUCUAUAGCUGGUCUGAGAGGACGAUCAGCCACACUGGAACUGAGAUACGGUCCAGACUCCUACGGGAGGCAGCAGUGGGGAAUAUUGGACAAUGGGCGAAAGCCUGAUCCAGCUAUGCCGCGUGAGUGAAGAAGGCCUUCGGGUUGUAAAACUCUUUCAAUAGGGAAGAUAAUGACGGUACCUAUAGAAGAAGUCCCGGCAAACUCUGUGCCAGCAGCC
Molecule: ribosomal RNA, 461 nt
Filed under: Ehrlichia canis
Lineage: Bacteria; Pseudomonadati; Pseudomonadota; Alphaproteobacteria; Rickettsiales; Anaplasmataceae
Description: bacterial SSU rRNA
Rfam family: Bacterial small subunit ribosomal RNA
Source: RNAcentral